RNAcentral lists this transfer RNA (74 nucleotides) under Verrucomicrobia bacterium GWF2_62_7. RNAcentral describes it as "tRNA-Gly". It matches the Rfam family "tRNA". Rfam says of the family: Transfer RNA (tRNA) molecules are approximately 80 nucleotides in length. Their secondary structure includes four short double-helical elements and three loops (D, anti-codon, and T loops). Lineage: Bacteria; Pseudomonadati; Verrucomicrobiota. The record is from RNAcentral. RNAcentral also lists the same sequence under 4 other names.
GCGGGUGUAGCUCAAUGGUAGAGCGGUAGCCUUCCAAGCUACUUACGAGGGUUCGAUUCCCUUCACCCGCUCCA